AUUUAACUCUUUUGCAAGUUGCAGAUUAAUGUUCUGGCCCUCUCCUUAGCUUCACGGCACCCCUCCCACCUCUCUCCUCCAGUCCUCAGCCACUCUGCUGUGGAACCACUUGAAUAGUAAGACCUCAUGAAUGUUUGCAUCCCAUCUUCGAUUCCUCUCUCCAGGGCAUUGAUGGCUAAUCAUCAAAGCUGGAUACAUCACUGACCAGCUGUGUGGUGUGCAUCACCAUAGCUCAAGGAUCUCUUGUAGCACCCACCCUACAGAGGACAGAGCCCUCACCUCCUGUGCUAUGGAUGGCAGUCCAUGUUCAAGAGCUACACACUGUUUCAUUUCAGUUUGUGUUUCGUUUGUGAACUAAGGACACUAACUGUUAAAGCUUUGGAGGUGAAUUCUUCCUUUCUUGCUUGAUAAAACGCUUUAGGUGUUUAACAGUCUGGGGUCUCCAUUGCGGUAUUUUGUUCUUCCCUGUGUUUUAGCCACAGGAGAUCCUGGUCAGCUCAACCCAUUAGAUGAGAAACCAGCCAGGCAACUGGAACAGAAGAUGGGCUACCGGCAGCUGCAGACAGAGUCAGAUCUUCAAUGCAAUAUUUAGCUCAUUUUAACAAACUUCAACUAAAGCACUAUUCUCUGCAAGUGUGUGCACUGCUUGUCAAUUUUACUCGACCUUGUAGCCAGCAAGCUCAUUGAUCACUUGAGGUUCUCAGCUCCACCCUUUUAUUUCAGUUUUCUAAGACUUUUUUGUCUAUGUUAUUUUACUAAUGCACUGUCUGAUGAAGCUGUAACUGUGAUAUCAAAUAAAGCUUUCACUUGAG
Xyrichtys novacula (pearly razorfish) is the source of this 812-nucleotide non-coding RNA. The record is from the annotation of a GenBank genome assembly. Lineage: Eukaryota; Metazoa; Chordata; Actinopteri; Labriformes; Labridae.